CAGCACGAAAGAGCUUGCUCUUUUGGUGGCGAGUGGCGAACGGGUGAGUAAUGCAUCGGAACGUACCGAGUAAUGGGGGAUAACUAUCCGAAAGGAUAGCUAAUACCGCAUACGCUUUGAGAAGGAAAGUGGGGGCUCUUCGGACCUCACGUUAUUCGAGCGGCCGAUGUCCGAUUAGCUAGUUGGUGGGGUAAAGGCCUACCAAGGCGACGAUCAGUAGCGGGUCUGAGAGGAUGAUCCGCCACACUGGGACUGAGACACGGCCCAGACUCCUACGGGAGGCAGCAGUGGGGAAUUUUGGACAAUGGGCGCAAGCCUGAUCCAGCCAUGCCGCGUGUCUGAAGAAGGCCUUCGGGUUGUAAAGGACUUUUGUUAGGGAAGAAAAGGAUAGUGUUAAUACCAUUAUCUGCUGACGGUACCUAAAGAAUAAGCACCGGCUAACUACGUGCCAGCAGCCGCGGUAAUACGUAGGGUGCGAGCGUUAAUCGGAAUUACUGGGCGUAAAGCGAGCGCAGACGGUUUAUUAAGCAAGAUGUGAAAUCCCCGAGCUUAACUUGGGAACUGCGUUUUGAACUGGUAAGCUAGAGUAUGUCAGAGGGGGGUAGAAUUCCACGUGUAGCAGUGAAAUGCGUAGAGAUGUGGAGGAAUACCGAUGGCGAAGGCAGCCCCCUGGGAUAAUACUGACGUUCAUGCUCGAAAGCGUGGGUAGCAAACAGGAUUAGAUANCCUGGUAGUCCACGCCCUAAACGAUGUCAAUUAGCUGUUGGGGCACUUGAUGCCUUAGUAGCGA
RNAcentral lists this ribosomal RNA (790 nucleotides) under uncultured Kingella sp. Its description in RNAcentral is "bacterial SSU rRNA". It matches the Rfam family "Bacterial small subunit ribosomal RNA", at positions 67 to 849 of the family's 1533-position model. The record is from RNAcentral. Lineage: Bacteria; Pseudomonadati; Pseudomonadota; Betaproteobacteria; Neisseriales; Neisseriaceae.